RNAcentral lists this long non-coding RNA (776 nucleotides) under Dermacentor andersoni. RNAcentral's name for it is "uncharacterized LOC126526915". Lineage: Eukaryota; Metazoa; Arthropoda; Arachnida; Ixodida; Ixodidae. The record is from RNAcentral.
AUUUUGCCGUCCUCAGUUGUCGCCACAUGUGAGUGCUUGCUGCAUUGACGCCGUCCGAUGUAGUUGUUUAAUCGUGUGUACGCUGUGCCGAGAGAAAUUGUGGUGCAUUUUGUAUGCAUUGAGAAUCACAAAACCCCUGGGACCGCGUAAUGUAGCCCGCAGUAUCCUUCGUGUGGUGCGCCGAUGUCGAAGAUAUGACUCUUCGCGCUUCCUUUGUUCCGGGCUCAUGAACAGGAUCUCCUCUUCUGGCACUGUCGCAUCGUAUCGCGCUGUACGGAAGAAUUUGGUGAAAGUUGUGCUCUUACGUCCUGUAGUUGAUCCGCAAUUGAACAGUGUGUGCGCCGGAAGGACCGUUGGUGCAGUCGAUGCCGCGGCACCUGUGACGCUAAAAGGAGCGUUUUCCGAGUACGCCUAGAAAGGGAUGGCAAGAUUUUGUGAACCAGAGGCACCUCCACAUAUGCACCUGCGGCUCUUCUGCAGCCUCAACAGCACGGAAAAGUACCUGAUGUGCAUGCUGUGACAAGCUGCUGUAGGUAUGGCUGGACCUGGAGAAGUGUAAGCAGACCAUGCUAUGUUGCUGAUCUGCGCUGAUCUCCACAUCCAAGUUGGUCCUGCGACAGUUGGGCACCAUUGUGCCUUGCUUCAUUGACAAGGUGAUAUAAUAUGGUGCCCUGCUCGCUCUCACCCAAGCAACCCACUCCAGCGGUCUUCUCUCGGCAGACUGGAUGCAUCGAAAUACCGUUAGAAGGUCCAAUAAACAGUGCUUGGGACAUUUA